AUCAUUUCAUUAAUUUCAUGAUCCUAAUAAAAGACUCCAGUUUUGCGAAUAAAUGAUGGAUCUACUUGACAGGAAUUUUCUACAAAUAAAAAACUUUUCUAAUACGUUACGUUUAUAUAUCUAGAAAAAGUCAAUGUUUGCACAGGGAUUGAUGGUGAUUGUGUUAUAGGACCGAUUUUCUUCCAUGAAAGUCCUAAUGGAGCAAGAUAUUUAGAAUUCUUGCAGGUGAAUCUAGUUGCGAAUUUAAUUAUUUUGUUCCUUUGCCCUAUAAACGUGCGCCUUCUAAUUUCGCAAGACCUGUCCAGGAGUGCCUAGAUGAUAUAUUUCCAGAUAGAUGGAUUGGUAGAAAAAGAUCCUUUGAAUGGCCACAGGUUUCCGGAUUUAAUACCUUUGGACUUUUGAGAUUACUGGAAGACUAAAGUUGGUGCGCGAUUGGAUUAAGCAAAGAGAAACACACAAUUUAAUGACUAGCUAAUUGGAAAAGUUAUAGAACUAGAGGAUCAGGAGUGUUACAAAAAUUUUCUCAGGAUGUCGGCGGCCGAUUUUCAGUAUUUACUUAGCAAAAGAAAACCUGCGAUAGCAAAACAGAAUACAUUCAUGCGAAAUUCAAUUCCAGCAGCUAAGAGAUUAGCACUGACUCUUCGGUUUCUAGCAAUAGGUGAUAGCUACCACACACCUAUGCAUUUAUUUCGUAUACCUUUUUGUACAAUAUCAAGAACUGAAGAACUGAACAAAACCUGAAGUGUGCUCCGCAAUUUAUAAUAUUCUAAAAGAAGAAUACCUACAUGUAAAUUCCAUAAAUUAUAUUUAUUACAAAAGUUGUAUUUUACAUUUUAAAUAAUGCAGAUCCGCUUUCCUCAUAAUACUUCACAAGACUAAUGUCAUUAUCCUCAUCAUCGGCAAUAUCUUCUACCGGAGUAUCAUUAACUGCUUGUGCCAAUCAAGGAUU
Molecule: long non-coding RNA, 949 nt
Organism: Anthonomus grandis grandis
Lineage: Eukaryota; Metazoa; Arthropoda; Insecta; Coleoptera; Curculionidae
Exons: 3
Source: RefSeq, a predicted model, not a curated record